This 511-nucleotide ribosomal RNA is filed under the name Penicillium namyslowskii. RNAcentral describes it as "SSU rRNA". It matches the Rfam family "Eukaryotic small subunit ribosomal RNA", at positions 44 to 557 of the family's 1831-position model. Lineage: Eukaryota; Fungi; Ascomycota; Eurotiomycetes; Eurotiales; Aspergillaceae. The record is from RNAcentral.
UUGUUAGCCUGCUGUCUAAGUAUAAGCACUUUAUACUGUGAAACUGCGAAUGGCUCAUUAAAUCAGUUAUCGUUUAUUUGAUAGUACCUUACUACAUGGAUACCUGUGGUAAUUCUAGAGCUAAUACAUGCUAAAAACCCCGACUUCAGGAAGGGGUGUAUUUAUUAGAUAAAAAACCAACGCCCUUCGGGGCUCCUUGGUGAAUCAUAAUAACUUAACGAAUCGCAUGGCCUUGCGCCGGCGAUGGUUCAUUCAAAUUUCUGCCCUAUCAACUUUCGAUGGUAGGAUAGUGGCCUACCAUGGUGGCAACGGGUAACGGGGAAUUAGGGUUCGAUUCCGGAGAGGGAGCCUGAGAAACGGCUACCACAUUCAAGGAAGGCAGCAGGCGCGCAAAUUACCCAAUCCCGAUACGGGGAGGUAGUGACAAUAAAUACUGAUACGGGGCUUUUUCGGGACUCCUAAUUGGAAUUGGCACCAUUUAAAUCCCUUAACGAGGAACAAUUGGAGGGCA